GAAACAGGUUAAUAUUCCUGUACUUGGUGUUACUGCGAAGGGGGGACGGAGAAGGCUAUGUUAGCCGGGCGACGGUUGUCCCGGUUUAAGCAUGUAGGCGGAGGUUCCAGGUAAAUCCGGUACCUUUUAACGCUGAGGUGUGAUGACGAGGCAUUACGGUGCUGAAGUAACAAAUGCCCUGCUUCCAGGAAAAGCCUCUAAGCAUCAGGUAACAUUGAAUCGUACCCCAAACCGACACAGGUGGUCAGGUAGAGAAUACCAAGGCGCUUGAGAGAACUCGGGUGAAGGAACUAGGCAAAAUGGUGCCGUAACUUCGGGAGAAGGCACGCUGAUAUGUAGGUGAAGUCCCUGCGGAUGGAGCUGAAAUCAGUCGAAGAUACCAGCUGGCUGCAACUGUUUAUUAAAAACACAGCACUGUGCAAACACGAAAGUGGACGUAUACGGUGUGACGCCUGCCCGGUGCCGGAAGGUUAAUUGAUGGGGUUAUCCGUAAGGAGAAGCUCUUGAUCGAAGCCCCGGUAAACGGCGGCCGUAACUAUAACGGUCCUAAGGUAGCGAAAUUCCUUGUCGGGUAAGUUCCGACCUGCACGAAUGGCGUAAUGAUGGCCAGGCUGUCUCCACCCGAGACUCAGUGAAAUUGAACUCGCUGUGAAGAUGCAGUGUACCCGCGGCAAGACGGAAAGACCCCGUGAACCUUUACUAUAGCUUGACACUGAACAUUGAGCCUUGAUGUGUAGGAUAGGUGGGAGGCUUUGAAGCGUGGACGCCAGUCUGCGUGGAGCCAACCUUGAAAUACCACCCUUUAAUGUUUGAUGUUCUAACGUUGGCCCCUGACCGGGGUUGCGGACAGUGUCUGGUGGGUAGUUUGACUGGGGCGGUCUCCUCCCAAAGAGUAACGGAGGAGCACGAAGGUUAGCUAAUCCUGGUCGGACAUCAGGAGGUUAGUGCAAUGGCAUAAGCUAGCUUGACUGCGAGCGUGACGGCGCGAGCAGGUGCGAAAGCAGGUCAUAGUGAUCCGGUGGUUCUGAAUGGAAGGGCCAUCGCUCAACGGAUAAAAGGUACUCCGGGGAUAACAGGCUGAUACCGCCCAAGAGUUCAUAUCGACGGCGGUGUUUGGCACCUCGAUGUCGGCUCAUCACAUCCUGGGGCUGAAGUAGGUCCCAAGGGUAUGGCUGUUCGCCAUUUAAAGUGGUACGCGAGCUGGGUUUAGAACGUCGUGAGACAGUUCGGUCCCUAUCUGCCGUGGGCGCUGGAGAAUUGAGGGGGGCUGCUCCUAGUACGAGAGGACCGGAGUGGACGCAUCACUGGUGUUCGGGUUGUCAUGCCAAUGGCAUUGCCCGGUAGCUAAAUGCGGAAGAGAUAAGUGCUGAAAGCAUCUAAGCACGAAACUUGCCCCGAGAUGAGUUCUCCCUGAGACUUUAAGUCUCCUGAAGGAACGUUAAAGACGAUGACGUUGAUAGGUCGGGUGUGUAAGCGUAGCGAUACGUUGAGCUAACCGAUACUAAUGAACCGUGAGGCUUAACCUU
This 1526-nucleotide ribosomal RNA is filed under the name Klebsiella aerogenes UCI 27. Its description in RNAcentral is "bacterial LSU rRNA". It matches the Rfam family "Bacterial large subunit ribosomal RNA", at positions 1422 to 2925 of the family's 2925-position model. The record is from RNAcentral. Lineage: Bacteria; Pseudomonadati; Pseudomonadota; Gammaproteobacteria; Enterobacterales; Enterobacteriaceae.